Jatropha curcas is the source of this 2224-nucleotide long non-coding RNA. RefSeq lists it as uncharacterized. The record is from RefSeq and is a predicted model, not a curated record. NCBI's taxonomy places the organism in Eukaryota, Viridiplantae, Streptophyta, Magnoliopsida, Malpighiales, Euphorbiaceae.
UUGCCUAUAACAUAAUUUACGGCUUCGCUCCUCAAACAAAACUAUCUAAGGUGCCACUCCCUCUCUCUCCUUCUAUGUCUAUCACUUUCUUUCUCUAACUAACACUUGCCACCCAUGUAUAAAGUUGAUCUCUCAAAACUUAAGCAAAGCGUCUUGCUGUCAUCCAUCUUCAAAUGGGAAGGGAGAAGGAGCACAGAGAAUGGGAUUCGAUGUUGCAAUUAGAGUUCUUGUACCAUAUGUAUAGCAUAGAAAUUGUGCUAGGCACAUCCAUGCAAACUAGAAGAAGGUGUAUAACGGAGAAGGUUUUAAAAAAGCAUUCUAGGAGGUAGUAUACUCAACUUAUGAGGCAGAGUUUGAGAAGAAGUUAAAGGAAUUACAGAAUAUUUCAGUCAAUGGUGCGAAUGACUUUCUAAGAAAAGAUAAGACUAAGUUCUGCAGAGCCUUUAAAAGUAUUGAUCCCAAAGUAGAUGAUGUAACUAGUAACAUAGCUGAGACAUUUAAUGGUUACAUAGUGAAAGCAAGGACGACGCCUCUUAUUCUCAUGCUAGAGGAAAUUAGAACUAUAUUGAUGGAAAGAAACUUCUACAAUAAGAUGAGAGCUGAGAAAUGGAAUGAUGAGGUAAGAAUUAGAAGGAUAAUUGAAAAAGCCAAACUGGGUACUUCAUGUUGUGUGUCAAGACCAUCCGAUGGGAAUAAGUUUCAGGUCCAAGUUUCUGGUAUUUGUUGUGUCAUUGGAUGAUAGAGAGUGCUCAUGUAGAGUGUGGCAAUUGUCAGGAGUUCCUGUUGUCAUGUUAUUUCAUGUAUCCACUACAUGAGACAUGGCCUAAUGGACUAUGUACAUGAGUCAUUAAAGAAAAAGAUGUACUGUGUUGGGUUAAUUUAGCCUAUAAUGUAGAAGUGGGCCCCAUAAUUAAUAUUUUUAUUUUUCAAUUAAGUCCAAUUCUAAAAUCAGGGUAUAAUUAAAACGAAAAGUGCAAUUUGGGGUGUGUAGAGGAUAAAGGUCAUUUUAGGGUAAAAAUGAGACUAUUCGAAAAGGUGAGGGUGAAAACAAUGGUUUAGCCAAUCUAAUUAAGAGUACUUUGAUUAUUUCAUGCUUGAAUUAUAGUAAAGCAGAUGAAUUUGAAAAAUGUUUAAAUAUAGUUCAAAAUUUUCUUAAAUGCACCUUAUUUCACUUAUUUAAUUUGAUCAAAUCUAAUAAUUUCAUUUAUGCUCACCUUUCAGCAUUUUCUAAAUUACAUCAUUUUUUAAAAAUUUUAUAGGUUCUUGUAACAUAUUCCCGUAAUUGGUUCUUAUUAUAUGCAAUUAACUGAAUUAAAAAUUUUAAAAACAUGAGAAAAAAUUUAAAUUAAACCCAAUUUGGAAUUUUUUUUUUAAAAAAAUAGAUAUGGUAAUAUGGAAAAAAAAAUUUUUAACCAUUCAUAACUAAGAAUGCUCGUUUUACCCGAUUUGUUUAUAAAUGGAGCGAAUAAAUAUAUGUACAACUCGAUCCAAACUUACCUGACUCAAUCCAAUUAUUUGUUUUCCUUUUAAAAAAAAAAAAACUCUAACUAUUUAGUACAUAUUGAUAGUUAGAAAGUUAAACAAAAGAUAAUAUGGAGAAAAAUGAUAAGAACUUAUUAUAUUUAUAAAAAAUAAAAUACUCCCUCCGUCUCAUAUAUAUAGGUUCAUUUUCCUUUUUUUGUACGUACCUAUUUCACAUUUUUGAAAAAUCAUUUAUUACGUAAUUUCUUAAUAUACCCCUAUUUAAUGUACGUCUCUUUUCCCAAUUGUACAUAUAUCAUUUAAUAUUAUAAAGGGAUAAUUUUGGAAAAAACUAAACAAAAAUAUAAUUUAAUUAUAUUAACUAGCUUUUCUUAAUCUAUAUGAAAGUCAAACUAUAUAUAUAUAUAUAUGGGACGAAUGGAGUAAAGCUUAAGUAUCUGUGCGAAGAGAAUGAUGAUAAUUUUUAUAGAGAAUGCGUAUAGUGGUUGUCUUGUUCGAGCGUGGAAUAUGAGUUUAUAUUAUUGAGCGGCGGACUCGGGUAUUUAAUGUAUAUUUGAUAAAUUGUUACUGAAUCCUCUGAAUAUACGUUGUGCCUUGUAUUUAUAUGUGCUAAGGGUCUUAUGCUUAUUAAAGCUUCAUAUAUUUACAAAUAAGAUUUUGGUAUAUUUAUUAUGGUCUAUUGUGCAUGUGCAUACACACAUAUGUAUAAAAAUUUGAUUUAAUAUAGAGCGACGAAGGAUAA